UCUGUCACCGGUCAUUUUACUCUCGUAGAACAAGAAACCGGAAGUAGUGAACAGGUGUUGAUCAGUCAAUAGUGUUGAUUAAUUAACCUGAUUAAUGUUGAGUUAGCAACUGACUUUGGUCUCACUGUAUAGGGAACAAAUAAGUAAAACCCGACAUGAAGACACUGAGUUAUAUCCAGGUACAGUAAUAUUAUUUGUUAAAGUUGACUUCCUGUUCGUGUUUAGCUGUUAGCUUUGAAGCUAAUAGAGGAGGAGCUUGUGUUGUUUUGCUAAAGUUUAGAAGAAAUAUUAUGUAGCUUUUCACUGCUUCUUCCCAAAUAAACUGGUUUGAGCAUUAAUUUAAUAUUAACACGGUUCAGGUAAACACGACAUUACAAAUAUUUAUCUACUAUUUUAAACGACGUGUCAUCAGUGUAACAUGGAGAAGAAAUGUGAACAUGUCCAUAUAAAACCAAAGCAGGAGCCUCCAGUUCUUCAUGGUGGAGAACAUGCUGAUGGAUCACCACAACCAGAGCAGCCCUCAGGACGACACCACGACAAGAACCUGGACGGGAGGAUCUGAGGGGAAAGAUUCAGGUGGAGAAAUCCCUCCUGAGAAAAUCUAAAUGUCAACCAGAAAUCCUGAUGAACAACAAACAACAUUAAAGAAACUGUACAGUGAAGAAGAACAUUAGAAACCAGGUCCCUGCUCCUCUCCAGUGUAAAAGCUCCUCCUCAUCUUUGUAGGAAUUAAGUAAUGAACUCAUUUCAUUUUGAAUAGUUUUUUAAUCAUAUUUUCAUAAAUCUGAAAUGUUUUCCUUGUUGAGUGCUUCAAACAUUUGAUGCUGUAACUAAUCAGACGUUGUGUGUAAACUCUUGUUGUUUUACUCCAAAGAAUCUGUCACACUUGAAAAGUUGUGCAGUUAUUUACAUAUUUAAUAAAAGAAAGAAAAAGC
Molecule: long non-coding RNA, 935 nt
Organism: Mugil cephalus (flathead mullet)
Lineage: Eukaryota; Metazoa; Chordata; Actinopteri; Mugiliformes; Mugilidae
Exons: 4
Source: RefSeq, a predicted model, not a curated record